Molecule: non-coding RNA, 376 nt
Organism: Cajanus cajan (pigeon pea)
Lineage: Eukaryota; Viridiplantae; Streptophyta; Magnoliopsida; Fabales; Fabaceae
Source: RefSeq, a predicted model, not a curated record
CCUGCAUAGGCACAGAGGAUAAGGAAGGGCUAAUCCAGUGAAAUAGUCUCAUAAACGAGCUAUUAAAAAGUUAAGAAGAAAAGAAUUUCAAAAGGGAACUACUAGAUCCCAAGGAGCUGGAGUUGUAGCAUCAAGGGUUGGGAUUGAAGAUGGUGGAGUUGGAUCAUCAUCUCAAUCAUAGCCAGUGGUUACUAGCUGAAAGUCCCUUGACGUUAUUUUUUGCUUAUUUUGGUCUGCAUCCACUAAAGAUAUAUGGAGUCAUUACUAUUUUUUUGGUAUAACAGUACUACUCAAUUACAUUUUUUGAGAAUCAUCAUUUGGGUGGUAUCAUUGCACUUCUCAAAAUGCAUAAUAGAUCCUUCUAAAUUGCUUAUCU